RNAcentral lists this ribosomal RNA (406 nucleotides) under uncultured bacterium. Its description in RNAcentral is "partial 16S ribosomal RNA". It matches the Rfam family "Bacterial small subunit ribosomal RNA", at positions 29 to 526 of the family's 1533-position model. The record is from RNAcentral.
AUUGAACGCUGGCGGCAGGCCUAACACAUGCAAGUCGAACGAGUGGCGGACGGGUGAGUAAUGUCUGGGAAACUGCCCGAUGGAGGGGGAUAACUACUGGAAACGGUAGCUAAUACCGCAUACCAUCGGAUGUGCCCAGAUGGGAUUAGCUUGUAGGUGAGGUAACGGCUCACCUAGGCGACGAUGCCUAGCUGGUCUGAGAGGAUGACCAGGCACACUGGAACGGAGAGACGGUCCAGACUCGUACGGGAGGCAGCAGUGGGGAAGAUGGCACAAUGGGGGCAAUCCUGAUGCAGCCAGGCGGCGGGUAUGAAGAAGGCAUUCGGGUUGUAAAGUACUUUCAGCGGGGAGGCGUUACCCGCAGAAGAAGCACCGGCUAACUCCGUGCCAGCCGCCGCGGUAAUUC